GGGGAUGCACUGGUUUCGACGGGGAGACCAAAGUUUAAGAUGCAUGUCGUGCCUGAAUGAUGCACGUAAAUCUUUAAUUCAAUUUGUUAUAGUUGCAAACGACGAUAACUACGCUCUAGCGGCUUAAUCCCGCUAGCGCAGACUAGGUCAGCUGUUCGUGGCUCCUAGCUCUGUGUCGACUUACGCGAAAUCGCCAGUUCCUGUGUGUUUGGAUAGGAACAGCUAAAACUUACAAACUCGCCUUGUGUGAUCUCUGUUGACCGAGUAGCAUUAAGGUUAAAUUAAAUGGUCAAAUAAACAUGUAGAUUUUUAAAUGGAGGCUCUUCGGACGGCGGUUCGACUCCGCCCAUCUCCACCA
This 358-nucleotide transfer-messenger RNA is filed under the name Thiomicrospira sp. It matches the Rfam family "transfer-messenger RNA". Rfam says of the family: Bacterial tmRNA, also known as 10Sa RNA or SsrA, is named for its dual tRNA and mRNA-like properties. Its role is to liberate the mRNA from a stalled ribosome. To accomplish this part of the tmRNA is used as a reading frame that ends in a translation stop signal. The record is from RNAcentral. Lineage: Bacteria; Pseudomonadati; Pseudomonadota; Gammaproteobacteria; Thiotrichales; Piscirickettsiaceae.